Molecule: long non-coding RNA, 231 nt
Organism: Etheostoma spectabile (orangethroat darter)
Lineage: Eukaryota; Metazoa; Chordata; Actinopteri; Perciformes; Percidae
Exons: 3
Source: RefSeq, a predicted model, not a curated record
UUCACACAUACAGGUAAAUCACCUGUUCCUCGCUAAAAGUUCAAAUCAUUUUAACGUUAUUGUGUAUUCUUGCCCCUAUUUUCAUCUGUUGCUGAGUAACAAACAUUAACAUCCCAUGGUCUCUUGAAUGUAGCAUACCUGUAGCAAGCUCCUUCGUAGUAACCAGCGGUAAAAACAAACGUCAAAGAGGAGCUCCGUGCUACAUAGCAGUGAUUCAAAGUUAUUUAAGAC